CCUUACAGCGUCGAGAACAGAGACCGUCGUCGAUUUGAUGGCCAAAAGCUACGGAAUUCGCCGUCGCACCGAAGAUCGCCGCAGGGAUGAAACCCUAGCUUUUUUGAGAGAGGAGAGAAAUGAAUGGAAUCACGCGAGAUCCCGUCUUUCCACAACGUCAACGCGGAAACGACCAGCCAAUCCGUGCGUGACGCGUGGCUUGACCUCGCCCCUUACGGGUUCAUAACUAAGGCCCGGUUCAGCGAUAUAUACCCAUUUUACAUUUUUUUUUAAUUGAUCGGGCCUAAGAUCCCGAGCCCAUGACCCCCUCUUAAACCGCUGAUGCGGAUGGUCUAAUAACUUUUGCCAAUACAUUCCACCACGCGUUGCAGCCUCUUAAGAUUCCAGCGUUCAUGUUAUGAUACAAAGAUGUUUCUCAUAAUGCUUUUCAAACUACAAUUGUGUUAUACAUAUACUUUUUCAUAUACUCUAUCGGUUGAUCCGGUCAACGUUUAGUGGUAUAGAGUGGACUGGUUACCACAUUGCUUGACCCGAGUUUGGAAUACUUUCUAACUAAUGUCAGGAAUAGACCAAUCAUCUGUUACGACCCACGAUGUUAACCACUUGAGACGAAGCCCAAGCCCAAACUGGCUAAGUAAUAAUAAUUUAGUUUCUAACUAAAAUUAAAGCCAUGACUGAUGUGGAUAGAAACACCAAACACCAAAAGAUUACUAUUAGAUUACCA
RNAcentral lists this long non-coding RNA (724 nucleotides) under Brassica rapa (field mustard). Its description in RNAcentral is "long non-coding RNA (BRAP_LNC005229)". Lineage: Eukaryota; Viridiplantae; Streptophyta; Magnoliopsida; Brassicales; Brassicaceae. The record is from RNAcentral.